Molecule: transfer RNA, 87 nt
Filed under: Caudoviricetes sp.
Lineage: Duplodnaviria; Heunggongvirae; Uroviricota; Caudoviricetes
Description: tRNA-Ser
Rfam family: tRNA
About the family: Transfer RNA (tRNA) molecules are approximately 80 nucleotides in length. Their secondary structure includes four short double-helical elements and three loops (D, anti-codon, and T loops).
Source: RNAcentral
GCUGCAAUGGCUCAAUUGGUACAGCACUGGUCUUGAAAACCAGCAUGUCGAGAAAUCGCUAUAUAGGUUCGAAUCCUAUUUGCAGCG